UUAACACAUGCAAGUCGAGGGGCAGCAUGGUCUUAGCUUGCUAAGGCCGAUGGCGACCGGCGCACGGGUGAGUAACGCGUAUCCAACCUGCCUUACACUCUUGGACAGCCUUCUGAAAGGGAGAUUAAUACAAGAUGUUAUCAUGAGUAAGCAUUUUCGCAUGAUUAAAGGUUUACCGGUGUAAGAUGGGGAUGCGUUCCAUUAGAUAGUAGGCGGGGUAACGGCCCACCUAGUCUUCGAUGGAUAGGGGUUCUGAGAGGAAGGUCCCCCACAUUGGAACUGAGACACGGUCCAAACUCCUACGGGAGGCAGCAGUGAGGAAUAUUGGUCAAUGGACGAGAGUCUGAACCAGCCAAGUAGCGUGAAGGAUGAAGGUUCUAUGGAUUGUAAACUUCUUUUAUACGGGAAUAAACGAAUCCACGUGUGGAUUUUUGCAUGUACCGUAUGAAUAAGGAUCGGCUAACUCCGUGCCAGCAGCCGCGGUAAUACGGAGGAUCCGAGCGUUAUCCGGAUUUAUUGGGUUUAAAGGGAGCGUAGAUGGGUUGUUAAGUCAGUUGUGAAAGUUUGCGGCUCAACCGUAAAAUUGCAAUUGAUACUGGCAGUCUUGAGUACAGUUGAGGUAGGCGGAAUUCGUGGUGUAGCGGUGAAAUGCUUAGAUAUCACGAAGAACUCCGAUUGCGAAGGCAGCUUACUAACCUGUAACUGACAUUGAUGCUCGAAAGUGUGGGUAUCAAACAGGAUUAGAUACCCUGGUAGUCCACACGGUAAACGAUGAAUACUCGCUGUAGGCGAUAUACAGUCUGCGGCCAAGCGAAAGCAUUAAGUAUUCCACCUGGGGAGUACGCCGGCAACGGUGAAACUCAAAGGAAUUGACGGGGGCCCGCACAAGCGGAGGAACAUGUGGUUUAAUUCGAUGAUACGCGAGGAACCUUACCCGGGCUUAAAUUGCAACCGAAUAUGGCGGAAACGCUAUAGCUAGCAAUAGCGGUUGUGAAGGUGCUGCAUGGUUGUCGUCAGCUCGUGCCGUGAGGUGUCGGCUUAAGUGCCAUAACGAGCGCAACCCUUGCCGAUAGUUACUAACAGGUCAUGCUGAGGACUCUGUCGGGACUGCCAUCGUAAGAUGUGAGGAAGGUGGGGAUGACGUCAAAUCAGCACGGCCCUUACGUCCGGGGCUACACACGUGUUACAAUGGGGGGUACAGAGGGCUGCUACCACGCAAGUGGAUGCCAAUCCCAAAAACCUCUCUCAGUUCGGAUUGAAGUCUGCAACCCGACUUCAUGAAGCUGGAUUCGCUAGUAAUCGCGCAUCAGCCACGGCGCGGUGAAUACGUUCCCGGGCCUUGUACACACCGCCCGUCAAGCCAUGGGAGCCGGGGGUACCUGAAGUGCGUAACCGCAAGGAGCGCCCUAGGGUAAAACUGGUGACUGGGGCUAAGUC
Molecule: ribosomal RNA, 1437 nt
Filed under: uncultured organism
Description: 16S ribosomal RNA
Rfam family: Bacterial small subunit ribosomal RNA
Source: RNAcentral